Molecule: transfer RNA, 78 nt
Filed under: Bifidobacterium pseudolongum subsp. globosum
Lineage: Bacteria; Bacillati; Actinomycetota; Actinomycetes; Bifidobacteriales; Bifidobacteriaceae
Description: tRNA-Arg
Rfam family: tRNA
About the family: Transfer RNA (tRNA) molecules are approximately 80 nucleotides in length.
Source: RNAcentral
GCCCUUGUAGCUCAGUGGAUGCAGAGCGGACGGUUUCUACCCGUCUGGUCGCGGGUUCGAAUCCUGCCGGGGGCGCGA